Molecule: unclassified non-coding RNA, 322 nt
Filed under: soil metagenome
Description: partial contains 5.8S ribosomal RNA, internal transcribed spacer 2, and large subunit ribosomal RNA
Rfam family: 5.8S ribosomal RNA (bases 1-120)
Source: RNAcentral
GAUGAAGAACGCAGCGAAAUGCGAUAAGUAAUGUGAAUUGCAGAAUUCAGUGAAUCAUCGAAUCUUUGAACGCACAUUGCGCUCCCUGGUAUUCCGGGGAGCAUGCCUGUUCGAGCGUCAUUACAACCCUCAAGCUCUGCUUGGUGUUGGGCCCCGCCGCCCCGGCGGGCCCUAAAGUCAGUGGCGGUGCCGUCCGGCUCCGAGCGUAGUACAUCUCUCGCUCCAGUGCCCGGUGGUAGCCUGCCAGAACCCCAACUCUCGUGGUUGACCUCGGAUCAGGUAGGGAUACCCGCUGAACUUAAGCAUAUCAAUAAGCGGAGGA